Molecule: ribosomal RNA, 467 nt
Filed under: uncultured bacterium
Lineage: Bacteria
Description: partial 16S ribosomal RNA
Rfam family: Bacterial small subunit ribosomal RNA
Source: RNAcentral
ACGCACGCUGGCGGCGUGCUUAACACAUGCAAGUCGAACGGAAAGGCCCUGCUUUUGUGGGGUGCUCGAGUGGCGAACGGGUGAGUAACACGUGAGUAACCUGCCCUUGACUUUGGGAUAACUUCAGGAAACUGGGGCUAAUACCGGAUAGGAGCUCCUGCUGCAUGGUGGGGGUUGGAAAGUUUCGGCGGUUGGGGAUGGACUCGCAGCUUAUCAGCUUGUUGGUGGGGUAGUGGCUUACCAAGGCUUUGACGGGUAGCCGGCCUGAGAGGGUGACCGGCCACAUUGGGACUGAGAUACGGCCCAGACUCCUACGGGAGGCAGCAGUGGGGAAUAUUGCACAAUGGGCGGAAGCCUGAUGCAGCAACGCCGCGUGCGGGAUGACGGCCUUCGGGUUGUAAACCGCUUUCGCCUGUGACGAAGCGUGAGUGACGGUAAUGGGUAAAGAAGCACCGGCUAACUACGUG